CGUUUAGCGGCGGACGGGUGAGUAACACGUGGGUAACCUACCUAUAAGACUGGGAUAACUUCGGGAAACCGGAGCUAAUACCGGAUAAUAUUUCGAACCGCAUGGUUCGAUAGUGAAAGAUGGUUUUGCUAUCACUUAUAGAUGGACCUGCGCCGUAUUAGCUAGUUGGUAAGGUAACGGCUUACCAAGGCGACGAUACGUAGCCGACCUGAGAGGGUGAUCGGCCACACUGGAACUGAGACACGGUCCAGACUCCUACGGGAGGCAGCAGCA
RNAcentral lists this ribosomal RNA (273 nucleotides) under uncultured Staphylococcus sp. RNAcentral's name for it is "partial 16S ribosomal RNA". It matches the Rfam family "Bacterial small subunit ribosomal RNA", at positions 89 to 355 of the family's 1533-position model. Lineage: Bacteria; Bacillati; Bacillota; Bacilli; Caryophanales; Staphylococcaceae. The record is from RNAcentral.